AGUGAACGCUGGCGGUAGGCCUAACACAUGCAAGUCGAACGGCAGCACAGUAAGAGCUUGCUCUUACGGGUGGCGAGUGGCGGACGGGUGAGGAAUACAUCGGAAUCUACUUUUUCGUGGGGGAUAACGUAGGGAAACUUACGCUAAUACCGCAUACGACCUACGGGUGAAAGCAGGGGAUCUUCGGACCUUGCGCGAUUGAAUGAGCCGAUGUCGGAUUAGCUAGUUGGCGGGGUAAAGGCCCACCAAGGCGACGAUCCGUAGCUGGUCUGAGAGGAUGAUAAGCCACACUGGAACUGAGACACGGUCCAGACUCCUACGGGAGGCAGCAGUGGGGAAUAUGGGACAAUGGGCGCAAGCCUGAUCCAGCCAUACCGCGUGGGUGAAGAAGGCCUUCGGGUUGUAAAGCCCUUUUGUUGGGAAAGAAAAGCAGCAGGUUAAUACCCCGCUGUUCUGACGGUACCCAAAGAAUAAGCACCGGCUAACUUCGUG
Molecule: ribosomal RNA, 492 nt
Filed under: uncultured bacterium
Lineage: Bacteria
Description: partial 16S ribosomal RNA
Rfam family: Bacterial small subunit ribosomal RNA
Source: RNAcentral